AGUGGAGGACAGAAAACUGAAUAGGAUUCCUUUAGUAAUGGCGAAUGAACCAGGAAGAGCUCACAUUGACAAUCCGUACUUUGUGUCUGGAAUUGUAUUUCAAAGUUGUGUUGCUAAUGAAAGUGUGUGUGCAAGCCAUUUGGGAAAAUGUGGCAACGAAGGUGAAACUCUUGUGUGUCAUGUGCAAGCUUUCAUGCAAGGUAUGCUCCCAAGAAUCGUGUUCCUUGGAAUUGGAGUGCAAAGCAGGUGGUAAAUUUCAUGUGAAGCUAAAUAUAUGUUUGAGACUGAUAGUGUACAAGUACCAUGAGGGAAAUGUGAAAAGGACUUUGAAAAGAAAGUUACAAGUACCUGAAAUUGCUGGAAUGAAAGCAAAUGACAUGAUGCUGUUUAGCAAGAUUGCAGUUUGCAGACAUCAAGCAGGGUGCAUGUCAUGUGCAUUUCUGGGCUUGUGUGGGUAUACAGUGUAUCUUGCUUUGCAUGCCAUGACGAAGCUGCAUGUCAACACCAAACAUGCAUAAGUGAAUUGCAUAUUGUAUGUUGUGAAUAUGUCCUUACAUGGUAUGCAGCUUGGUUGUUGUCGCUGGGUGCUGUGCCCCUUGUCUCCUGUGGCAAGGGUGCCAACCUGGCCCAUUGCAUGAAUGUGAUGCUUCAUUUGACCCGUCUUGAAACACGGACCAAGGAGUCUAAUACAUGUGCAAAUCUGUGGGUCAUCUUUUGGGGUGCAAUGAAAAUGACAAUUGGGAUGUGUGCACUGAUAGCCAACCAAUCAACUGUGAGAGGUUUGUGUUUGAGCAUGUGUAUUAGGACCCGAAAGAUGGUGAACUAUGCUUGAGUAGAAUGAAUUCAGGGGAAACUCUGAAGGAGGCUUGCAGCGGUACUGACGUGCAAAUCGUUCGUCAUACUUGAGUAUAGGGGCGAAAGACUAAUCGAACC
Molecule: ribosomal RNA, 933 nt
Filed under: Gonyaulax fragilis
Lineage: Eukaryota; Dinophyceae; Gonyaulacales; Gonyaulacaceae
Description: partial large subunit ribosomal RNA
Rfam family: Eukaryotic large subunit ribosomal RNA
Source: RNAcentral